AGAUACUGAUAUCCAUUUAAAACAGGACAAGGCUCAAAGUGGUUAGACACAAUAAAGAGAAACAAAGAUGAAUAGACAGAAAAAUUAAAUAAAACAAACAAAACAACACACCGAAAAAACCAAAACCAUUAACUCAAACCACUCUUCACCACAAAUGAAUUGCCGCCAAGAAUAUCAUCCAAAAAACAAUUCAUCUUCCCUAAAACAAAUUUGAAACCACAACGCCGAGCAAGGAAGAAAACUUUUAAAUCCAACCAUGAAGAUUCAAAAGAACCUUCUCCAUCUUCAAAGUGAGCAAAGACCUAACAACCGAUCUGGACCCAAGUCAUCCAAUCCUCAACUAUCGCCUUCUUUACUAUUUCCAGAGGUGAAAAAUCCCAAACGCAAAGAAUCUUUCGUCGUCGCCCUUCGACCACCAGAAGAUGUGCCGCCCGAUUAGCUACCCUUGGCACAAAAUGAGAAUCCCCUUCCAAUAGAAUCCUACGAAAACCCAUUUCCUCUACAAAGAUCAGCGCCAUUUCAUAAGCACGAGCUUCAACAAUAAAAGCAUCAACCACAUCACCAUAUGGGUAAGUGCAAGCACGUAGAAAAACCCUCUUAUUAUUUCUUACUAGAACAGCUGCAUAAGAAAUUCUAGAUUCUUUUAGAAAUGAGGCAUCAAAAUUCAAUUUAAACGUACCACUAUCAGGAGGACGCCAUAAAUGCUGUCUCAUAGGAAUAGAAACAGAUUUUAGGUUCGAUUAACACAAGGCGAUAUCCUGGCAAUAGUCUCGAAUAAAUCCUAGGAGAUCCUACAUAGAAAACUUUGAGCUUUCAUGAAUCAAUUUAUUUCUCCUAUGCCAUAAUGCCCAUAGUGAUAUAAUAAGAAUCUAUCGAUUAGGAACAUCUGCUGCAAACAAGUUUUUAACAAAUUUGUCUUUGAAAUUUGAGGUAUUCUCGAGUGGAUAGACCCUGAUGUUGAGAGAGGUCCAUAACUACUUUAAGACACCACAAUUCCACAGUAAAUGGUCAGAAUCCUCCAAAUCUGCUUUACAGAGAGGUCAGACACCAUCCACAGUCAAUCGUCGUUUGAGAAGAUUGUUAUAGUAAGGCACAAAAUUGUUGAAGAGUCGCCACAUGUUUAUCUUAAUUUUAGCAGGAAUAUGUAAAGCCUAGAGCAUUUUGUAGAAAUCACUCUAUUUAUGUCUUAUGAGCGAAUGUUGCCCAUUAUUUUGUACUUGAUUUGUAAUCAAAACAUGAUACCCAUUCUUCACGGUGUAUUCCCCGGUAA
This is a long non-coding RNA of Gossypium arboreum, 1270 nucleotides long. RefSeq lists it as uncharacterized. The transcript is spliced from 2 exons. NCBI's taxonomy places the organism in Eukaryota, Viridiplantae, Streptophyta, Magnoliopsida, Malvales, Malvaceae. The record is from RefSeq and is a predicted model, not a curated record.